CAUCCCACAUAUGCCUGAGGACAUCCUGAGGAAGUACAUGCUAGAAUUAUCUCCAUUGGGCAGAAAAGACAUGGACCAUACCUGAGAAGCACAAUCGCGAAUCUGGGACCAGAAAGAGGUACCGGGGCUCUGGAUACCAGAAACCCCAGUGUGCAGUAUCAUUUGGAUGUUGGAGAGGGUUACUUAACCCACGCUGGUGAUGUCUCAGGAUGUUUUCCAGGAGGUCACAUAAGAGCCACAUGCCACAGAUGGAGGAGAAGCUGAAUGAUGAGAGCCCCUGCUCUACUUCCCUGAAGGACAGGAAGAAGACCCAUACCAUCAGGAGGAUGCUGCGCUGGCUCAGCAUGAGUGCAGGUACCAGGGAAACCCAACACCUAGGACCCACAGACAAUGAAAAGAAUACCAGGGCACAGAAAACACACUACUACUCCCCCGGUAUCUCUUGUAGACUCCUGAUGCCAGAUGAACCUGGAGCCCCAUGUGCUCCCCAAACAUGACCUCAUGGCCCAGCCCCUGCCAUGGCCAGAUGCAACGUCACUCUCCACUUAUUUGUAGGAAUAUCAGAAAAGAGAUGUGAAACCAUUUCAUGUCCGAUUCUGUCUAGAAUAUAUUGGCAUUGUCGUACAUGUUUCCUCAACAACUGUUC
This is a long non-coding RNA of Herpailurus yagouaroundi (jaguarundi), 646 nucleotides long. RefSeq lists it as uncharacterized. The record is from RefSeq and is a predicted model, not a curated record. The transcript is spliced from 3 exons. Lineage: Eukaryota; Metazoa; Chordata; Mammalia; Carnivora; Felidae.